RNAcentral lists this ribosomal RNA (449 nucleotides) under uncultured bacterium. RNAcentral's name for it is "partial 16S ribosomal RNA". It matches the Rfam family "Bacterial small subunit ribosomal RNA", at positions 29 to 523 of the family's 1533-position model. The record is from RNAcentral.
AACGAACGCUGGCGGCAUGCCUAACACAUGCAAGUCGAACGAGAUCUUCGGGUCUAGUGGCGCACGGGUGCGUAACGCGUGGGAAUCUGCCCUUUGGUUCGGAAUAACAGUUGGAAACGACUGCUAAUACCGGAUGAUGACGAAAGUCCAAAGAUUUAUCGCCAGAGGAGGAGCCCGCGUAGGAUUAGCUAGUUGGUGUGGUAAAGGCGCACCAAGGCGACGAUCCUUAGCUGGUCUGAGAGGAUGAUCAGCCACACGGGGACUGAGACACGGCCCAGACUCCUACGGGAGGCAGCAGUGGGGAAUAUUGGACAAUGGGCGAAAGCCUGAUCCAGCAAUGCCGCGUGGGUGAUGAAGGCCUUAGGGUUGUAAAGCUCUUUUACCCGGGAUGAUAAUGACAGUACCGGGAGAAUAAGCUCCGGCUAACUCCGUGCCAGCAGCCGCCGUAA